RNAcentral lists this ribosomal RNA (204 nucleotides) under Galium tricorne. Its description in RNAcentral is "5.8S ribosomal RNA". The stretch from base 5 to 160 matches the Rfam family "5.8S ribosomal RNA". From Rfam's summary of the family: 5.8S ribosomal RNA (5.8S rRNA) is a component of the large subunit of the eukaryotic ribosome. It is transcribed by RNA polymerase I as part of the 45S precursor that also contains 18S and 28S rRNA. The record is from RNAcentral. Lineage: Eukaryota; Viridiplantae; Streptophyta; Magnoliopsida; Gentianales; Rubiaceae.
AUACGACUGUCGGCAACGGAUAUCUAGGCUCUCGCAUCGAUGAAGAACGUAGCAAAAUGCGAUACUUGGUGUGAAUUGCAGAAUCCCGUGAAUCAUCGAGUUUUUGAACGCAAGUUGCGCCCGAAGCUAUCCGGCUGAGGGCACGUCUGCCUGGGCGUCACGCAUCUCGUCACCGCCCCAACCCGAGUCUACUUCAAGUAGACU